UACCUGACAAUGUUUCUAAGUAUAAGCACUUUAUACUGUGAAACUGCGAAUGGCUCAUUAAAUCAGUUAUCGUUUAUUUGAUAGUACCUUACUACAUGGAUACCUGUGGUAAUUCUAGAGCUAAUACAUGCUAAAAACCUCGACUUCGGAAGGGGUGUAUUUAUUAGAUAAAAAACCAAUGCCCUUCGGGGCUCCUUGGUGAUUCAUAAUAACUUAACGAAUCGCAUGGCCUUGCGCCGGCGAUGGUUCAUUCAAAUUUCUGCCCUAUCAACUUUCGAUGGUAGGAUAGUGGCCUACCAUGGUGGCAACGGGUAACGGGGAAUUAGGGUUCGAUUCCGGAGAGGGAGCCUGAGAAACGGCUACCACAUCCAAGGAAGGCAGCAGGCGCGCAAAUUACCCAAUCCCGACACGGGGAGGUAGUGACAAUAAAUACUGAUACGGGGCUCUUUUGGGUCUCGUAAUUGGAAUGAGUACAAUCUAAAUCCCUUAACGAGGAACAAUUGGAGGGCAAGUCUGGUGCCAGCAGCCGCGGUAAUUCCAGCUCCAAUAGCGUAUAUUAAAGUUGUUGCAGUUAAAAAGCUCGUAGUUGAACCUUGGGUCUGGCUGGCCGGUCCGCCUCACCGCGAGUACUGGUCCGGCUGGACCUUUCCUUCUGGGGAACCUCAUGGCCUUCACUGGCUGUGGGGGGAACCAGGACUUUUACUGUGAAAAAAUUAGAGUGUUCAAAGCAGGCCUUUGCUCGAAUACAUUAGCAUGGAAUAAUAGAAUAGGACGUGCGGUUCUAUUUUGUUGGUUUCUAGGACCGCCGUAAUGAUUAAUAGGGAUAGUCGGGGGCGUCAGUAUUCAGCUGUCAGAGGUGAAAUUCUUGGAUUUGCUGAAGACUAACUACUGCGAAAGCAUUCGCCAAGGAUGUUUUCAUUAAUCAGGGAACGAAAGUUAGGGGAUCGAAGACGAUCAGAUACCGUCGUAGUCUUAACCAUAAACUAUGCCGACUAGGGAUCGGGCGGUGUUUCUAUGAUGACCCGCUCGGCACCUUACGAGAAAUCAAAGUUUUUGGGUUCUGGGGGGAGUAUGGUCGCAAGGCUGAAACUUAAAGAAAUUGACGGAAGGGCACCACAAGGCGUGGAGCCUGCGGCUUAAUUUGACUCAACACGGGGAAACUCACCAGGUCCAGACAAAAUAAGGAUUGACAGAUUGAGAGCUCUUUCUUGAUCUUUUGGAUGGUGGUGCAUGGCCGUUCUUAGUUGGUGGAGUGAUUUGUCUGCUUAAUUGCGAUAACGAACGAGACCUCGGCCCUUAAAUAGCCCGGUCCGCGUUUGCGGGCCGCUGGCUUCUUAGGGGGACUAUCCGCCUCAAAGCCCCGAGAAAGCCCA
This 1373-nucleotide ribosomal RNA is filed under the name Aspergillus oryzae. RNAcentral describes it as "SSU rRNA". It matches the Rfam family "Eukaryotic small subunit ribosomal RNA", at positions 52 to 1448 of the family's 1831-position model. The record is from RNAcentral. Lineage: Eukaryota; Fungi; Ascomycota; Eurotiomycetes; Eurotiales; Aspergillaceae.